Molecule: long non-coding RNA, 567 nt
Organism: Lycium barbarum (goji berry)
Lineage: Eukaryota; Viridiplantae; Streptophyta; Magnoliopsida; Solanales; Solanaceae
Exons: 3
Source: RefSeq, a predicted model, not a curated record
CCCGCCGAUCUGGAAGUUUCCAGCACUGGGUAUAAAUAUAAGCUCCCACAUUUUAAUUCAUUAUUUCUCCCAAGAACAGACCCUAUAUCUCUCUAGAACCCUCUAAAACUCUCUCUCUAAUUCUACAACAAUCUAUACCAAGAAAUCAAGAGCAAAAGCCAAGAUUUAAGAGAUUCAUAUACUAGGAAGCCUAUUAGGGUUUGUGAAGGGUAAGAAUUCCUAUGACAUACAAGUGGAAGAUUUCAUUCUAAUGAAGUAGAGUAACUCAAGGCUUAUUCCAAGUGAUUAAGCAGAACGUGAUAUAGCAAAGCAUCAAGUUCAAUUAUUCAAGAGCUCAGAUAAAUUUGAAAUGGAAUGUAACUGCGAGAUAUGUUCCUUUGUUGGAUUUGACGGUGAGACAACCUUCUGUUCAUUAUGUUUUUCGCUCUAGAAUUUAACUCUUUUUCUUACUUCAAUUGGGUGUUUGGAAAUAUAUGUACUUCUUGUGGUUGUUGAAAAAGUUACCAGCAUAUCACUUCAUAGAAUUUUUCCACAUUUGAUUAUCGAAUUCUCUGAAUUAUAUCUGAC